GACACGCUGGCGGCGUGCCUAACACAUGCAAGUCGUACGGAGUUCACUUGGAAGCUUGCUUCCGAGUGAACUUAGUGGCGGACGGGUGAGUAACGCGUGAGCAACCUGCCUCACAGAGGGGGAUAACACACGGAAACGUGUGCUAAUACCGCAUAAUCCGAUGAAGCGGCAUCGCUUUAUCGGCAAAGGAGCAAUCCGCUGUGAGAUGGGCUCGCGUCCGAUUAGAUAGUUGGUGAGGUAACGGCUCACCAAGUCUACGAUCGGUAGCCGGACUGAGAGGUUGGACGGCCACAUUGGGACUGAGACACGGCCCAAACUCCUACGGGAGGCAGCAGUGAGGGAUAUUGCACAAUGGGCGAAAGCCUGAUGCAGCGACGCCGCGUGAGGGAUGACGGUCUUCGGAUUGUAAACCUCUGUCCUUGGUGAAGAAGAAAGUGACGGUAGCCAAGGAGGAAGCCACGGCUAACUACGUG
This 473-nucleotide ribosomal RNA is filed under the name uncultured bacterium. Its description in RNAcentral is "bacterial SSU rRNA". It matches the Rfam family "Bacterial small subunit ribosomal RNA", at positions 33 to 507 of the family's 1533-position model. The record is from RNAcentral.